AUUGAACGCUGGCGGCAGGCCUAACACAUGCAAGUCGAACGAGUGGCGGACGGGUGAGUAAUGUAUGGGGAUCUGCCCGAUAGAGGGGGAUAACUACUGGAAACGGUAGCUAAUACCGCAUACUAUCGGAUGUACCCAUAUGGGAUUAGCUAGUAGGUGGGGUAAAGGCUCACCUAGGCGACGAUCCCUAGCUGGUCUGAGAGGAUGAUCAGCGACACUGGCACUGAGACACGGUCCAGACUCCUACGGGAGGCAGCAGGGGGGAAUAUUGCACAAUGGGCGCAAGCCUGAUGCAGCCAUGCCGCGUGUAUGAAGAAGGCCUUAGGGUUGUAAAGUACUUUCAGCGGGGAGGCGUUACCCGCAGAAGAAGCACCGGCUAACUCCGUGCCAGCCGCCGCGGUAAUUC
RNAcentral lists this ribosomal RNA (406 nucleotides) under uncultured bacterium. Its description in RNAcentral is "partial 16S ribosomal RNA". It matches the Rfam family "Bacterial small subunit ribosomal RNA", at positions 30 to 526 of the family's 1533-position model. The record is from RNAcentral.